GACGAACGCUGGCGGCGUGCUUAACACAUGCAAGUCGAACGGAAAGGCCCUGCUUUUGUGGGGUGCUCGAGUGGCGAACGGGUGAGUAACACGUGAGUAACCUGCCCUUGACUUUGGGAUAACUUCAGGAAACUGGGGCUAAUACCGGAUAGGAGCUCCUGCUGCAUGGUGGGGGUUGGAAAGUUUCGGCGGUUGGGGAUGGACUCGCGGCUUAUCAGCUUGUUGGUGGGGUAGUGGCUUACCAAGGCUUUGACGGGUAGCCGGCCUGAGAGGGUGACCGGCCACAUUGGGACUGAGAUACGGCCCAGACUCCUACGGGAGGCAGGAGUGGGGAAUAUUGCACAAUGGGCGGAAGCCUGAUGCAGCAACGCCGCGUGCGGGAUGAAGGCCUUCGGGUUGUAAACCGCUUUCGCCUGUGACGAAGCGUGAGUGACGGUAAUGGGUAAAGAAGCACCGGCUAACUACGUG
This 468-nucleotide ribosomal RNA is filed under the name uncultured bacterium. RNAcentral describes it as "partial 16S ribosomal RNA". It matches the Rfam family "Bacterial small subunit ribosomal RNA", at positions 28 to 507 of the family's 1533-position model. The record is from RNAcentral.